Long non-coding RNA from Dermochelys coriacea (leatherback sea turtle), 345 nucleotides. RefSeq lists it as uncharacterized. The record is from RefSeq and is a predicted model, not a curated record. The transcript is spliced from 3 exons. Lineage: Eukaryota; Metazoa; Chordata; Testudines; Dermochelyidae.
GGUUGUUAAAUUAGGGAUUAGUUUGUGUUUUGCUCUUUUAUUAGUUUCUUUUGUAACCAGUCCUGACUUUUAGGCAUGUUAACAUUUCUUUACCCCAUUUUAUUGAGGUUAGUUGAAUUUGAAACUUCUCAGAAGACUAUAUAAAGGCUUUCAACAAAAUCAACAUUUAACACCAUUCAGGAGAAAUGAAACAAGUUCAAGAAUAGAUUUGAAAAAAUGCCAUCGACUGGAGAUGAAAUUGCCAUAGUGGGGAUAGGAUGCAAUUUUCCUGGAGAUUUAAAAAAAAAUUAGGAAAGAAGAAAGUCUGUGUAUGGUGGGGGAAAACAGACUCCUUGUCUCUGGUAA